UACGUAGGGUGCAAGCGUUGUCCGGAAUUAUUGGGCGUAAAGGGCUCGUAGGCGGUCUGUCACGUCGGGAGUGAAAACUCAGGGCUUAACCCUGAGCCUGCUUCCGAUACGGGCAGACUAGAGGUAUGCAGGGGAGAACGGAAUUCCUGGUGUAGCGGUGAAAUGCGCAGAUAUCAGGAAGAACACCUAUGGCGAAGGCAGCUCUCUGGGACGGUACUGACGCUGAGACGCGAAAGCGUGGGGAGCGAACAGG
RNAcentral lists this ribosomal RNA (253 nucleotides) under uncultured bacterium. RNAcentral describes it as "partial 16S ribosomal RNA". It matches the Rfam family "Bacterial small subunit ribosomal RNA", at positions 524 to 776 of the family's 1533-position model. The record is from RNAcentral.